RNAcentral lists this long non-coding RNA (214 nucleotides) under Elaeis guineensis (African oil palm). RNAcentral describes it as "long non-coding RNA (EGUI_LNC066396)". The record is from RNAcentral. Lineage: Eukaryota; Viridiplantae; Streptophyta; Magnoliopsida; Arecales; Arecaceae.
CGGGAGAAAAGAAAAGGAAAGGAAAGAGGAGAUACUCGCAGGGUCCAGGGGCUCAAGCCGAUGUUGAACAAAAACUGCUCCUUCAGAAGGUUGGGAAGGGAAGGAGUUGAGUAACUAAGAAGUUUUCGGGCGGCCUGGAGGUCAUCCUCCCCCAAGCUAGGAGCCCUGCGGACAGAGUCCCUUAGGGAGCCCCAAGGGGGCAAUCCCAGCCUCA